RNAcentral lists this ribosomal RNA (492 nucleotides) under uncultured bacterium. Its description in RNAcentral is "partial 16S ribosomal RNA". It matches the Rfam family "Bacterial small subunit ribosomal RNA", at positions 29 to 507 of the family's 1533-position model. The record is from RNAcentral.
AGUGAACGCUGGCGGUAGGCCUAACACAUGCAAGUCGAACGGCAGCACAGUAAGAGCUUGCUCUUACGGGUGGCGAGUGGCGGACGGGUGAGGAAUACAUCGGAAUCUACUUUUUCGUGGGGGAUAACGUAGGGAAACUUACGCUAAUACCGCAUACGACCUACGGGUGAAAGCAGGGGAUCUUCGGACCUUGCGCGAUUGAAUGAGCCGAUGUCGGAUUAGCUAGUUGGCGGGGUAAAGGCCCACCAAGGCGACGAUCCGUAGCCGGUCUGAGAGGAUGAUCGGCCGCACUGGAACGGAAACACGGUCCAGGGUCCUGCGGGAGGCAGCAGUGGGGAAUAUUGGACAAUGGGCGCAAGCCUGAUCCAGCCAUACCGCGUGGGUGAAGAAGGCCUUCGGGUUGUAAAGCCCUUUUGUUGGGAAAGAAAAGCAGCAGGUUAAUACCCCGCUGUUCUGACGGUACCCAAAGAAUAAGCACCGGCUAACUUCGUG